Molecule: ribosomal RNA, 555 nt
Filed under: Pluteus sp. UC 1998739
Lineage: Eukaryota; Fungi; Basidiomycota; Agaricomycetes; Agaricales; Pluteaceae
Description: eukaryotic LSU rRNA
Rfam family: 5.8S ribosomal RNA (bases 171-324)
Source: RNAcentral
CACGCCCACCAUUUGUUUCAUCCUUCUUCCCACCUGUGCACUUCUGUAGGCCACCCAGCCAAAAGCCUUCCCGGCAUGCGGCUCCAACAGUGGUCUACGUUUUCUCAUCAACUCCAAUGAAUGUGUAGAGUGUAGAACAAGGUCCAUAAUGGCCUUAUAAAAUCUAAUACAACUUUCAACAACGGAUCUCUUGGCUCUCGCAUCGAUGAAGAACGCAGCGAAAUGCGAUAAGUAAUGUGAAUUGCAGAAUUCAGUGAAUCAUCGAAUCUUUGAACGCACCUUGCGCUCCUUGGUAUUCCGAGGAGCAUGCCUGUUUGAGUGUCAUUAAAUCAUCAACCCCCACUCCCUUGUGGUAUGGGGUGUUUGGACUUGGAGAUUGCAGGCCCACCAGUUGGGCCAGCUCCUCUGAAAUGCAUUAGCAGAGCCCAUCAUGUGCAUCUGUGGCUUGGUGUGAUAGUAAAUCUACACCUAGCAAUGUUGUGCAUCGAAUCUGCUGCCAGUCGUCCGCUUCGUGGACAACCAUUGACCAUUUGACCUCAAAUCAGGUAGGAUUAC